CCUACGGGUGGCAGCAGUGGGGAAUAUUGGACAAUGGGGGCAACCCUGAUCCAGCCAUGCCGCGUGUGUGAAGAAGGCCCUCGGGUUGUAAAGCACUUUCAGUGAGGAAGAACGCCUGGUGGUUAAUACCCAUUAGGAAAGACAUCACUCACAGAAGAAGCACCGGCUAACUCCGUGCCAGCAGCCGCGGUAAUACGGAGGGUGCGAGCGUUAAUCGGAAUUACUGGGCGUAAAGCGCGCGUAGGUGGCUUGAUAAGCCGGUUGUGAAAGCCCCGGGCUCAACCUGGGAACGGCAUCCGGAACUGUCAAGCUAGAGUGCAGGAGAGGAAGGUAGAAUUCCCGGUGUAGCGGUGAAAUGCGUAGAGAUCGGGAGGAAUACCAGUGGCGAAGGCGGCCUUCUGGACUGACACUGACACUGAGGUGCGAAAGCGUGGGUAGCAAACAGGAUUAGAUACCCCGGUAGUC
This 465-nucleotide ribosomal RNA is filed under the name Vreelandella stevensii. RNAcentral's name for it is "partial 16S ribosomal RNA". It matches the Rfam family "Bacterial small subunit ribosomal RNA", at positions 338 to 795 of the family's 1533-position model. Lineage: Bacteria; Pseudomonadati; Pseudomonadota; Gammaproteobacteria; Oceanospirillales; Halomonadaceae. The record is from RNAcentral.